Molecule: ribosomal RNA, 226 nt
Filed under: uncultured Staphylococcus sp.
Lineage: Bacteria; Bacillati; Bacillota; Bacilli; Caryophanales; Staphylococcaceae
Description: partial 16S ribosomal RNA
Rfam family: Bacterial small subunit ribosomal RNA
Source: RNAcentral
ACGCGUGGAUAACCUACCUAUAAGACUGGGAUAACUUCGGGAAACCGGAGCUAAUACCGGAUAAUAUAUUGAACCGCAUGGUUCAAUAGUGAAAGACGGUUUUGCUGUCACUUAUAGAUGGAUCCGCGCCGCAUUAGCUAGUUGGUAAGGUAACGGCUUACCAGGCAACGAUGCGUAGCCGACCUGAGAGGGUGAUCGGCCACACUGGAACUGAGACACGGUCCAG